Molecule: ribosomal RNA, 427 nt
Filed under: uncultured beta proteobacterium
Lineage: Bacteria; Pseudomonadati; Pseudomonadota; Betaproteobacteria
Description: bacterial SSU rRNA
Rfam family: Bacterial small subunit ribosomal RNA
Source: RNAcentral
UGGGGAAUUUUGGACAAUGGGCGAAAGCCUGAUCCAGCCAUGCCGCGUGAGUGAAGAAGGCCUUCGGGUUGUAAAGCUCUUUUAGUCGGAAAGAAAGAGUUGCAAUGAAUAAUUGUGAUUUAUGACGGUACCGACUGAAAAAGCACCGGCUAACUACGUGCCAGCAGCCGCGGUAAUACGUAGGGUGCGAGCGUUAAUCGGAAUUACUGGGCGUAAAGGGUGCGCAGGCGGUUUUGUAAGUCAGAUGUGAAAUCCCCGGGCUUAACCUGGGAAUUGCGUUUGAAACUGCAAGACUAGAGUGCAGCAGAGGGGAGUGGAAUUCCAUGUGUAGCAGUGAAAUGCGUAGAGAUGUGGAAGAACACCGAUGGCGAAGGCAGCUCCCUGGGUUGACACUGACGCUCAUGCACGAAAGCGUGGGGAGCAAACA